RNAcentral lists this ribosomal RNA (468 nucleotides) under uncultured bacterium. RNAcentral describes it as "bacterial SSU rRNA". It matches the Rfam family "Bacterial small subunit ribosomal RNA", at positions 355 to 825 of the family's 1533-position model. The record is from RNAcentral.
UGGGGAAUAUUGGACAAUGGGCGAAAGCCUGAUCCAGCAAUGCCGCGUGAGUGAUGAAGGCCUUCGGGUUGUAAAGCUCUGUCGGGAGGGACGAAUAGGGUGGUGUAAUGGCCACUUCUGACGGUACCUCCAAAGGAAGCACCGGCUAACUCUGUGCCAGCAGCCGCGGUAAUACAGAGGGUGCAAGCGUUGUUCGGAAUUACUGGGCGUAAAGCGCGUGUAGGCGGCGUCGUGAGUCAUAUGUGAAAGCCCUCGGCUCAACCGAGGAAGUGCAUGUGAUACUGCGAUGCUUGAGUGUUGGAGGGGGUGGCGGAAUUCCCGGUGUAGAGGUGAAAUUCGUAGAUAUCGGGAGGAACACCUGUGGCGAAGGCGGCCACCUGGACAACAACUGACGCUGAGACGCGAAAGCGUGGGUAGCAAACAGGAUUAGAUACCCCCGUAGUCCCUGAGCGGGCUGGCAAGGCGCAU